This 253-nucleotide ribosomal RNA is filed under the name uncultured bacterium. RNAcentral's name for it is "partial 16S ribosomal RNA". It matches the Rfam family "Bacterial small subunit ribosomal RNA", at positions 524 to 776 of the family's 1533-position model. The record is from RNAcentral.
UACGUAGGUGGCGAGCGUUGUCCGGAUUUACUGGGCGUAAAGAGCGUGUAGGCGGCCUGGUAGGUCUGCUGUGAAAACUCGAGGCUCAACCUCGAGAUGUCGGCGGAAACCAUCUGGCUAGAGUCCGGAAGAGGAGAGUGGAAUUCCUGGUGUAGCGGUGAAAUGCGCAGAUAUCGAGAGGAACACCUGCGGCGAAGGCGGGUUGCUGGGCUGACACUGACGCUGAAGUGCGAAAGCUAGGGGAGCGAACGGG